GAUGAAGAACGCAGCGAAUUGCGAUAAGUAGUGUGAAUUGCAGAAUUCAGUGAAUCAUCGAAUCUUUGAACGCACAUUGCGCCCCUUGGUAUUCCAUGGGGCAUGCCUGUUCGAGCGUCAUCUACACCCUCAAGCUCUGCUUGGUGUUGGGCGUCUGUCCCGCCUCUGCGCGCGGACUCGCCCCAAAUUCAUUGGCAGCGGUCCUUGCCUCCUCUCGCGCAGCACAUUGCGCUUCUCGAGGUGCGCGGCCCGCGUCCACGAAGCAACAUUACCGUCUUUGACCUCGGAUCAGGUAGGGAUACCCGCUGAACUUAAGCAUAUCAAUAAGCGGAGGA
This 335-nucleotide unclassified non-coding RNA is filed under the name soil metagenome. RNAcentral's name for it is "partial contains 5.8S ribosomal RNA, internal transcribed spacer 2, and large subunit ribosomal RNA". The stretch from base 1 to 120 matches the Rfam family "5.8S ribosomal RNA", at positions 35 to 154 of the family's 154-position model. The record is from RNAcentral.